Molecule: transfer RNA, 65 nt
Filed under: Scarites buparius
Lineage: Eukaryota; Metazoa; Arthropoda; Insecta; Coleoptera; Carabidae
Description: tRNA-Trp
Source: RNAcentral
AAGGAUUUAAGUUAAAAAAAACUAAUAACCUUCAAAGUUAUAAAUAAAGAAAGCUUUAAGCCUUG